GACGAACCGUGCGAACGUUAUUCGGAAUCACUGGGCUUAAAGCGCGUGUAGGCGGGCCGCCACGUCGGCUGCUGAAAUCCCCCGGCUCAACCGGGGAACCGCGGGGCAUACUGGCGGGCUUGGGUCGCUCAGGGGCAAGCGGAACAGGCGGUGGAGCGGUGAAAUGCGUAGAUAUCGUUUGGAACGCCAAUGGUGAAAACAGGUAACUGGGGAUGUGCCGACGCUGAGACACGAAAGCCAGGGGAGCGAACGGG
This 254-nucleotide ribosomal RNA is filed under the name uncultured bacterium. Its description in RNAcentral is "partial 16S ribosomal RNA". It matches the Rfam family "Bacterial small subunit ribosomal RNA", at positions 524 to 776 of the family's 1533-position model. The record is from RNAcentral.